GCAGGCCUAACACAUGCAAGUCGAGCGGCAUCGUUUUAGUUUUUCACUUCUCCGCCGGCGAGCGGCGAACGGGUGAGUAAAAUCUGGGGAUCUACCCGAUGGAGGGGGAUAACUACUAGAAAUGGUAGCUAAUACCGCAUAAUGUCGAAAGACCAAAGGGGGGGACCUUUAGGCCUGACAUCAUCGGAUGAACCCCGACGGGAUUAGCUAGGAGGCGGGGUAAAAGCCCACCUAGGCAACGAUCCAUAGCUGGUCUGAGAGGA
RNAcentral lists this ribosomal RNA (263 nucleotides) under secondary endosymbiont of Bactericera cockerelli. RNAcentral's name for it is "partial 16S ribosomal RNA". It matches the Rfam family "Bacterial small subunit ribosomal RNA", at positions 42 to 300 of the family's 1533-position model. Lineage: Bacteria; Pseudomonadati; Pseudomonadota; Gammaproteobacteria; Enterobacterales; Enterobacteriaceae. The record is from RNAcentral.